CAGUCGUACCGAUGGGCAUUCAGCCUCAUGAGUGCGAUUACGUCGGGUGUUGGGGAGCCUAAUCGCCCUCGCGCUUGGGUAUUUGUGCUCUACGGGUGUACUUGUCCGUAUGGUAGGUUAACAUCAAUUUUGGUCGUCAUAAAAUGACGGGAGGAAUGUGGCUUCGAUCUCGCAUUGAAGUGUUUAUAGCCUCUGGUAGAUGUGAUGACCGGGAUUGAGGAUUGCAACGAACCCUUCGGGGCCACCUGUCUGGCCUCUGGUGGUCGCUCUGGUGCCGAAAGCUUGCUUAUGGUUAUCAGAGUUGGUUGCCAAAAGGUUAGAACGGGCUGAU
This 331-nucleotide ribosomal RNA is filed under the name uncultured Glomeromycotina. RNAcentral describes it as "LSU rRNA". Lineage: Eukaryota; Fungi; Glomeromycota. The record is from RNAcentral.